This 274-nucleotide long non-coding RNA is filed under the name Hordeum vulgare. Its description in RNAcentral is "long non-coding RNA (HVUL_LNC014279)". The record is from RNAcentral. Lineage: Eukaryota; Viridiplantae; Streptophyta; Magnoliopsida; Poales; Poaceae.
AGCCGAUUGUUGGCUAUAUUAUUAACCAUGCUCUGAGUGGGUGCCGGAGCAGCCAGCUCGCAGUCACGGAUGCUACCUGCCAGCUGCAUUGAGUCAUUGGGUGCCGCCGGAGAAGCAGGAGGUUGCAUUGCGGCCCGCUCGCAGUCACGGCUUCGUGUACGUCAACGCCGGAUUUGGGGAGGAAAGAACGAGGUGUACGGGCGAGACAAAAUGAAAUUACUGGCCGAAUCAUUCUUUUCGAGAUUUGUUGACACUUGCCAAGGUGAAGGUGAAC